AUGUGGGCAAGGACGUGGAGAAAUUGGACCCCUUAUGCAUUGCUGGUGGGAAUGUGAAAUGGUACAGCUGCUGUGGCAAAUAAUUCAGCACCUCCAC
Cebus imitator (Panamanian white-faced capuchin) is the source of this 97-nucleotide long non-coding RNA. RefSeq lists it as uncharacterized. The transcript is spliced from 3 exons. The record is from RefSeq and is a predicted model, not a curated record. Lineage: Eukaryota; Metazoa; Chordata; Mammalia; Primates; Cebidae.